This 73-nucleotide transfer RNA is filed under the name Canis lupus familiaris (dog). It matches the Rfam family "tRNA". Rfam says of the family: Transfer RNA (tRNA) molecules are approximately 80 nucleotides in length. The record is from Rfam by way of RNAcentral. Lineage: Eukaryota; Metazoa; Chordata; Mammalia; Carnivora; Canidae. RNAcentral also lists the same sequence under 1 other name.
GCCUGGCUGGCUCAGAUGGAGGAGCCUGAGACUCUUGAUCUCAGGGUUGUGGGUUCGAGCCCCAAGGUGGGUG